AGAUUGCAGGCUGCAACUCGCCUGCAUGAAGUCGGAAUUGCUAGUAAUCGUAGGUCAGCAUACUACGGUGAAUACGUUCCCGGGGCCUUGUACACACCGCCCGUCAAACCAUGAGAGUUGGCAACACCCGAAGUCGGUAGUCUAACCGCAAGGAGGACGCCGCCGAAGGUGGGGUUGAUGAUUAGGGUUAAGUCGUAACAAGGUAAC
RNAcentral lists this ribosomal RNA (207 nucleotides) under uncultured bacterium. RNAcentral's name for it is "partial 16S ribosomal RNA". It matches the Rfam family "Bacterial small subunit ribosomal RNA", at positions 1295 to 1500 of the family's 1533-position model. The record is from RNAcentral.